GACGAACGCUGGCGGCGUGCUUAACACAUGCAAGUCGAACGGAAAGGCCCUGCUUUUGUGGGGUGCUCGAGUGGCGAACGGGUGAGUAACACGUGAGUAACCUGCCCUUGACUUUGGGAUAACUUCAGGAAACUGGGGCUAAUACCGGAUAGGAGCUCCUGCUGCAUGGUGGGGGUUGGAAAGUUUCGGCGGUUGGGGAUGGACUCGCGGCUUAUCAGCUUGUUGGUGGGGUAGUGGCUUACCAAGGCUUUGACGGGUAGCCGGCCUGAGAGGGUGACCGGCCACAUUGGGACUGAGAUACGGCCCAGACUCCUACGGGAGGCAGCAGUGGGGAAUAUUGCACAAUGGGCGGAAGCCUGAUGCAGCAACGCCGCGUGCGGGAUGACGGCCUUCGGGUUGUAAACCGCUUUCGCCUGUGACGAAGCGUGAGUGACGGUAAUGGGUAAAGAAGCACCGGCUAACUACGUGCCAGCAGCCGCGGUGAUACGUAGGGUGCGAGCGUUGUCCGGAUUUAUUGGGCGUAAAGGGCUCGUAGGUGGUUGAUCGCGUCGGAAGUGUAAUCUUGGGGCUUAACCCUGAGCGUGCUUUCGAUACGGGUUGACUUGAGGAAGGUAGGGGAGAAUGGAUUUCCUGGUGGAGCGGUGGAAUGCGCAGAUAUCAGGAGGAACACCAGUGGCGAAGGCGGUUCUCUGGGCCUUUCCUGACGCUGAGGAGCGAAAGCGUGGGGAGCGAACAGGCUUAGAUACCCUGGUAGUCCACGCUGUAAACGGUGGGUACUAGGUGUGGGGUCCAUUCCACGGGUUCCGUGCCGUAGCUAACGCUUUAAGUACCCCGCCUGGGGAGUACGGCCGCAAGGCUAAAACUCAAAGGAAUUGACGGGGCCCCGCACAAGCGGCGGAGCAUGCGGAUUAAUUCGAUGCAACGCGUAGAACCUUACCUGGGUUUGACAUGGAUCGGGAGCGCUCAGAGAUGGGUGUGCCUCUUUUGGGGUCGGUUCACAGGUGGUGCAUGGCUGUCGUCAGCUCGUGUCGUGAGAUGUUGGGUUAAGUUCCGCAACGAGCGCAACCCUUGUUCACUGUUGCCAGCACGUUAUGGUGGGGACUCAGUGGAGACCGCCGGGGUCAACUCGGAGGAAGGUGGGGAUGACGUCAAGUCAUCAUGCCCCUUAUGUCCAGGGCUUCACGCAUGCUACAAUGGCUGGUACAGAGAGUGGCGAGCCUGUGAGGGUGAGCGAAUCUCGGAAAGCCGGUCUCAGUUCGGAUUGGGGUCUGCAACUCGACCUCAUGAAGUCGGAGUCGCUAGUAAUCGCAGAUCAGCAACGCUGCGGUGAAUACGUUCCCGGG
Molecule: ribosomal RNA, 1343 nt
Filed under: uncultured bacterium
Lineage: Bacteria
Description: 16S ribosomal RNA
Rfam family: Bacterial small subunit ribosomal RNA
Source: RNAcentral